UACGAAGGGGGCUAGCGUUGUUCGGAAUCACUGGGCGUAAAGGGCGCGUAGGCGGCUGUUCAAGUCGGGGGUGAAAUCCCGUGGCUCAACCACGGAAUGGCCUUCGAUACUGGACGGCUAGAGACCGGAAGAGGUGAGUGGAACUGCGAGUGUAGAGGUGAAAUUCGUAGGUAUUCGCAAGAACACCAGUGGCGAAGGCGGCUCACUGGUCCGGUUCUGACGCUGAGGCGCGAAAGCGUGGGGAGCAAACAGG
RNAcentral lists this ribosomal RNA (253 nucleotides) under uncultured bacterium. RNAcentral describes it as "partial 16S ribosomal RNA". It matches the Rfam family "Bacterial small subunit ribosomal RNA", at positions 524 to 776 of the family's 1533-position model. The record is from RNAcentral.